RNAcentral lists this ribosomal RNA (576 nucleotides) under Pseudoalteromonas sp. 38E(2010). Its description in RNAcentral is "bacterial SSU rRNA". It matches the Rfam family "Bacterial small subunit ribosomal RNA", at positions 17 to 582 of the family's 1533-position model. The record is from RNAcentral. Lineage: Bacteria; Pseudomonadati; Pseudomonadota; Gammaproteobacteria; Alteromonadales; Pseudoalteromonadaceae.
UCCUGGCUCAGAUUGAACGCUGGCGGCAGGCCUAACACAUUGCAGUCGAGCGGUAACAGAGAGUAGCUUGCUACUCUGCUGACGAGCGGCGGACGGGUGAGUAAUGCUUGGGAAUAUGCCUUAUGGUGGGGGACAACAGUUGGAAACGACUGCUAAUACCGCAUGAUGUCUACGGACCAAAGUGGGGGACCUUCGGGCCUCACGCCAUAAGAUUAGCCCAAGUGGGAUUAGCUAGUUGGUGAGGUAAUGGCUCACCAAGGCGACGAUCCCUAGCUGGUUUGAGAGGAUGAUCAGCCACACUGGGACUGAGACACGGCCCAGACUCCUACGGGAGGCAGCAGUGGGGAAUAUUGCACAAUGGGCGCAAGCCUGAUGCAGCCAUGCCGCGUGUGUGAAGAAGGCCUUCGGGUUGUAAAGCACUUUCAGUAAGGAGGAAAGGUUAAGUGUUAAUAGCACUUAGCUGUGACGUUACUUACAGAAGAAGCACCGGCUAACUCCGUGCCAGCAGCCGCGGUAAUACGGAGGGUGCGAGCGUUAAUCGGAAUUACUGGGCGUAAAGCGUACGCAGGCGGUUUG